GAAAUGCGAUACGUAAUGUGAAUUGCAGAAUUCAGUGAAUCAUCGAAUCUUUGAACGCACCUUGCGCUCCUUGGUAUUCCUUGGAGCAUGCCUGUUUGAGUAUCAUGAAAUCUUCAAAGUAAAUCUUUUGUUAACUCAAUUGGCUUCUACUUUGGUAUUGGAGGUCUUUGCAGCUUCACACCUGCUCCUCUUUGUUCAUUAGCUGGAUCUCAGUGUUAUGCUUGGUUCCACUCGGCGUGAUAAGUUAUCUAUCGCUGAGGACACUGUAAAAGGUGGCCAAGGUAAAUGCAGAUGAACCGCUUCUAAUAGUCCAUUGACUUGGAAAAUACUUUUAUGAUCUGAUCUCAAAUCAGGUAGGACUACCCGCUGAACUUAAGC
RNAcentral lists this unclassified non-coding RNA (378 nucleotides) under plant metagenome. RNAcentral's name for it is "partial contains 5.8S ribosomal RNA, internal transcribed spacer 2, and large subunit ribosomal RNA". The stretch from base 1 to 105 matches the Rfam family "5.8S ribosomal RNA", at positions 50 to 154 of the family's 154-position model. The record is from RNAcentral.